GACGAACGCUGGCGGCGUGCUUAACACAUGCAAGUCGAACGGAAAGGCCCUGCUUGCAGGGUACUCGAGUGGCGAACGGGUGAGUAACACGUGGGUGAUCUGCCCUGCACUUCGGGAUAAGCCUGGGAAACUGGGUCUAAUACCGGAUAGGAGCCAUUUUUAGUGUGAUGGUUGGAAAGUUUUUUCGGUGUAGGAUGAGCUCGCGGCCUAUCAGCUUGUUGGUGGGGUAAUGGCCUACCAAGGCGGCGACGGGUAGCCGGCCUGAGAGGGUGGACGGCCACAUUGGGACUGAGAUACGGCCCAGACUCCUACGGGAGGCAGCAGUGGGGAAUAUUGCCCAAUGGGCGCAAGCCUGAUGCAGCGACGCCGCGUGGGGGAUGACGGCCUUCGGGUUGUAAACUCCUUUCGCUAGGGACGAAGCUUUUUGUGACGGUACCUAGAUAAGAAGCACCGGCUAACUACGUG
This 465-nucleotide ribosomal RNA is filed under the name uncultured bacterium. Its description in RNAcentral is "partial 16S ribosomal RNA". It matches the Rfam family "Bacterial small subunit ribosomal RNA", at positions 28 to 507 of the family's 1533-position model. The record is from RNAcentral.